Passer montanus (Eurasian tree sparrow) is the source of this 340-nucleotide long non-coding RNA. RefSeq lists it as uncharacterized. NCBI's taxonomy places the organism in Eukaryota, Metazoa, Chordata, Aves, Passeriformes, Passeridae. The transcript is spliced from 3 exons. The record is from RefSeq and is a predicted model, not a curated record.
UGAAAAAAGGGCUUUUUAGAAAAAAUGGAAGUUUGCUUCUUCUCUAGUAAGUACCUUGAAGCUUUAUCAGCAGUGCUGCAUUCAGCUAAUUCAUAUUAUCAUGAAUUACAGACACCAAUACAAUACAGAUGGUAAAGGAUAAAACACUUUCUUGGAUAGAACAUCUGGCAGUUUCAUGAUCUCCACAAGCUGCUGGCUUCUCAGCAGCCUAACCCAAUGGUUUUACAGAAGGCAAAUAUUUUGGAUUCUGGCUUCUGUGUUUCUACAGAGAUUUGUGUGAUCUCACUGGAUGCUGAGUGUUUAUGAAGACACCAAAGAUAUCCUUUGCCAAUGCUCUUAA